UUUAUGGAGAGUUUGAUCCUGGCUCAGGAUGAACGCUGGCGGCGUGCCUAAUACAUGCAAGUCGAGCGAACGGACGAGAAGCUUGCUUCUCUGAUGUUAGCGGCGGACGGGUGAGUAACACGUGGAUAACCUACCUAUAAGACUGGGAUAACUUCGGGAAACCGGAGCUAAUACCGGAUAAUAUUUUGAACCGCAUGGUUCAAAAGUGAAAGACGGUCUUGCUGUCACUUAUAGAUGGAUCCGCGCUGCAUUAGCUAGUUGGUAAGGUAACGGCUUACCAAGGCAACGAUGCAUAGCCGACCUGAGAGGGUGAUCGGCCACACUGGAACUGAGACACGGUCCAGACUCCUACGGGAGGCAGCAGUAGGGAAUCUUCCGCAAUGGGCGAAAGCCUGACGGAGCAACGCCGCGUGAGUGAUGAAGGUCUUCGGAUCGUAAAACUCUGUUAUUAGGGAAGAACAUAUGUGUAAGUAACUGUGCACAUCUUGACGGUACCUAAUCAGAAAGCCACGGCUAACUACGUGCCAGCAGCCGCGGUAAUACGUAGGUGGCAAGCGUUAUCCGGAAUUAUUGGGCGUAAAGCGCGCGUAGGCGGUUUUUUAAGUCUGAUGUGAAAGCCCACGGCUCAACCGUGGAGGGUCAUUGGAAACUGGAAAACUUGAGUGCAGAAGAGGAAAGUGGAAUUCCAUGUGUAGCGGUGAAAUGCGCAGAGAUAUGGAGGAACACCAGUGGCGAAGGCGACUUUCUGGUCUGUAACUGACGCUGAUGUGCGAAAGCGUGGGGAUCAAACAGGAUUAGAUACCCUGGUAGUCCACGCCGUAAACGAUGAGUGCUAAGUGUUAGGGGGUUUCCGCCCCUUAGUGCUGCAGCUAACGCAUUAAGCACUCCGCCUGGGGAGUACGACCGCAAGGUUGAAACUCAAAGGAAUUGACGGGGACCCGCACAAGCGGUGGAGCAUGUGGUUUAAUUCGAAGCAACGCGAAGAACCUUACCAAAUCUUGACAUCCUUUGACAACUCUAGAGAUAGAGCCUUCCCCUUCGGGGGGCAAAGUGACAGGUGGUGCAUGGUUGUCGUCAGCUCGUGUCGUGAGAUGUUGGGUUAAGUCCCGCAACGAGCGCAACCCUUAAGCUUAGUUGCCAUCAUUAAGUUGGGCACUCUAAGUUGACUGCCGGUGACAAACCGGAGGAAGGUGGGGAUGACGUCAAAUCAUCAUGCCCCUUAUGAUUUGGGCUACACACGUGCUACAAUGGACAAUACAAAGGGCAGCGAAACCGCGAGGUCAAGCAAAUCCCAUAAAGUUGUUCUCAGUUCGGAUUGUAGUCUGCAACUCGACUACAUGAAGCUGGAAUCGCUAGUAAUCGUAGAUCAGCAUGCUACGGUGAAUACGUUCCCGGGUCUUGUACACACCGCCCGUCACACCACGAGAGUUUGUAACACCCGAAGCCGGUGGAGUAACCUUUUAGGAGCUAGCCGUCGAAGGUGGGACAAAUGAUUGGGGUGAAGUCGUAACAAGGUAGCCGUAUCGGAAGGUGCGGCUGGAUCACCUCCUUU
RNAcentral lists this ribosomal RNA (1552 nucleotides) under Staphylococcus aureus. RNAcentral's name for it is "16S ribosomal RNA". It matches the Rfam family "Bacterial small subunit ribosomal RNA". RNAcentral also lists the same sequence under 1 other name. The record is from RNAcentral. Lineage: Bacteria; Bacillati; Bacillota; Bacilli; Caryophanales; Staphylococcaceae.